CUGAAGUACUCAGCCAAUGAGGAACCAAUGAGGGGAGAAAGAGGUAAGCGUCGAUAACAGGGAGUAAAAGUGGAAGGCUGUUUUCUGUGUGCUCUCCUGCUUGCAGGAGGCCUGCCAUUGCAGUUGUGCAUAGAAUCUGCUUUAUCAGAGAUACCGUCCUGAUAAAUUAUUUGUAUUUGCCUAUUUCCAGCGUGGCAAGCACACCCCCUUCAGGGCACAUCUCAUCCCACCGUUAGUCAGUCCUUGUAAGAAGCACCACGACAAAUCCACCUGAAAAACACAGCCCUUCCAUUGAGUAACAAAGAAAGCACUCUGCCCUUGCUCCUGACCCUCGUCCCUGCCCCCACCUGCCCUCACAGUACAGCCACCUUCUCUUGAGCAGGGUAAAGAGCAGUGAGAAUUCAUACUUGGUUAUCCUGGCACAAAGUGUUUGUGGGCCACAAAGAGAAAUCCCUGCAUUCCAGAAAACAGAGACAAAAAGAGACAGACGGAGGAGCGCCUAAUAAAGAUGUGACGAUGUUCUCAGCUGCGGCUGCUGUUGCUGGAUACAAGCAACCACACGAGGGAGGCUGAGCACGCUCUCCUGUCUCCAUCCCAAUCCAGGAAACACACAGAAGAGCUCAGUGCUCUCUUGCUUUCAUUUCCUUCCAUGACCAAUUUUAAAAUGCACCUUGUUCUAGGCCGGCACAAGCUCUAGGGCCUAAAGGCAGCGCCUGAGUGGCCAGCACAGCCCCGGGGCCUAAAGCCUCAGCCAGAGAGGCAUGAGGGCCCUGUGACCUAAAGCCAUCACAAGAGAGGCCAGCACCGACCCCAGCGCCUAAAGCCACAGCCCGAGAUGCCUAAACAGACCCCGGGGCCUGAAGCCACAGGCAGGCAGGCCUGCACUGGCGCUGCAUCCUGAAGACUCAUCCCCAGCCUGAGAGGCCAGCACCAGCCCUGGGCCUAAAGCCAGAGUCACGGCAUCGAGAGGCCAGCACCAGCUCCAGGGCCUAAAGCCACAGCCCAAAGGGCCAGCACGUGCCCUGGGGCCUGAAGCCACUGCUAGAGAGGCCAGCACCGGCCCCAGGGCCUGAAGCCACAGCCUGACAGGCUGGAACCAAUCCGGGGAGUUCAAGCCACUACCACAGUUAGAGAGCUCAGCACAGGACUGAGGGUCUGAAGACACAGCCCCACCCUGAGAGGCCAGCACUGGCCUCGAGGCACACAGGGGUGCAUUCCAAUUGGUUUCUACUGAUUCCUAUUGGUCUCUAUUCACCCCCAUCAGUCCUUGCUGGUCUUUUCUGGACGCUGACGCAUUCCUUUCACAAAAACGAGGUCUGAUGUCCCACUCGUUUUCGGGUUUGUUGCCCGUUUGUAAAAUAUUUUAUGACGUAUACAUAUCAAUCUAUGUCUCGUCCCACUCAGUGCAUUUUGAGGGGGUGAAUCUUUUUCCAUCUCCUGAGUCGCGCCUCCCCUGGUCAACAAAGGGUCACUGCCGCAAUGGAGUCAUCCAAACUCAGAGGAUUAAUACACAUCCAUUUAUUGACAGCGUUCUUAACAACUGACAACAGCCCACUGGAGGUAACAUUGCCUAAUGGGCUAAUUACAAUUCAUAAGCCUUACAGGUAACCAGCUGAAGGAAAUUGCUACGAAGACUCAAAGAAUCCAAGAAGCCACGUCCUGGCGUCAGGUGCACAUCUUCAGUCUGAUGGGUCGUCGGAGGUGGUGGUGUUCAGUUGACGACGACAGUACCAACUUAUUUGUAAGUCCAAAGUGGUGGCACUCAGCCGCCUGCCGGCACUGCCCCACAGCUGUGCCUGUGCGCCCCUGGGGGCAGGAGCACAGGAGAGGCCCCUUCCGUGGGGACAGAGCUCUCUCCCUGCACCCCACCACUGCGCAGCCCCGAGCUGGGAGGGGGGACUGAGAGGGGCGGUCAGAUGGGCAGCAGCCCAUCACAGACGACACGCAGGCUCCUGCUCGCAAAGUACGCCGGGGAAGCGUACAUUGCCUGGGGCAGCACUCGCAG
Molecule: long non-coding RNA, 2005 nt
Organism: Gallus gallus (chicken)
Lineage: Eukaryota; Metazoa; Chordata; Aves; Galliformes; Phasianidae
Source: Ensembl